Sinocyclocheilus rhinocerous is the source of this 512-nucleotide long non-coding RNA. RefSeq lists it as uncharacterized. NCBI's taxonomy places the organism in Eukaryota, Metazoa, Chordata, Actinopteri, Cypriniformes, Cyprinidae. The transcript is spliced from 3 exons. The record is from RefSeq and is a predicted model, not a curated record.
UGACGUUCGUCACCGCUGAUCUAUACCAUCGAUGUAUAUCAACAUUUCACUCAGCUCUAAAAAUGCUUGACUGAAUCAAAUUCUAUCCCAGCCUCUGAAAAGACCAUGUGAAGUUUCCCGGCUACCCAUCUGAGGGCUUUUGUCCUACCCGAAAAAGUGGCAGUGCCCCCCUCUUACUCCCCCGGGCAAAGAUUUGGGUUUAAUCUGGCAUGGAGAGGGGUGAGGAGGAUGCCAGCUCCAUUCAGCCCGCUGAUGUCAUGCGUAUGCCCACCGUGGGAGAGCAGCGGAUGGACUUGGAGGGUGGCAAAGACCCAUUCUGCUCUCACUCAAUCCGCUCUCUAUCGGGAUGAAUCACUCUUUCAGGAAUGGCAGCCCGCUCUAUUACAACCUUUUGGCCCUUCUUCAAUCAAGCACACACACACACACACACACACACAUACACUGCUCUCAUCAACAGCUUAUAACAUAAUAAAUUGAUAAAACUGGAGUUAAAUAUAGAUUAAAUAUACUGA